Molecule: non-coding RNA, 81 nt
Organism: Acephala macrosclerotiorum
Lineage: Eukaryota; Fungi; Ascomycota; Leotiomycetes; Helotiales; Mollisiaceae
Source: the annotation of a GenBank genome assembly
AGCCUCUUGGUGUAAUGGCAGCAUAACUUUCACUGAAUGUCGGGCAGGAAGUGGCGGUAGGUUCGAUUCCUGCAGAGGUCA